CCUACGGGGGGCAGCAGUGGGGAAUAUUGGACAAUGGGCGAAAGCCUGAUCCAGCCAUGCCGCGUGUGUGAAGAAGGCCUUCGGGUUGUAAAGCACUUUCAGUGGGGAAGAAAGCCUUGGGGCUAAUACCCUCGAGGAAGGACAUCACCCACAGAAGAAGCACCGGCUAACUCCGUGCCAGCAGCCGCGGUAAUACGGAGGGUGCGAGCGUUAAUCGGAAUUACUGGGCGUAAAGCGCGCGUAGGCGGUCUGAUAAGCCGGUUGCGAAAGCCCCGGGCUCAACCUGGGAACGGCAUCCGGAACUGUCAGGCUAGAGUGCAGGAGAGGAAGGUAGAAUUCCCGGUGUAGCGGUGAAAUGCGUAGAGAUCGGGAGGAAUACCAGUGGCGAAGGCGGCCUUCUGGACUGACACUGACGCUGAGGUGCGAAAGCGUGGGUAGCAAACAGGAUUAGAUACCCUUGUAGUC
Molecule: ribosomal RNA, 465 nt
Filed under: Vreelandella stevensii
Lineage: Bacteria; Pseudomonadati; Pseudomonadota; Gammaproteobacteria; Oceanospirillales; Halomonadaceae
Description: partial 16S ribosomal RNA
Rfam family: Bacterial small subunit ribosomal RNA
Source: RNAcentral